Esox lucius (northern pike) is the source of this 277-nucleotide long non-coding RNA. RefSeq lists it as uncharacterized. Lineage: Eukaryota; Metazoa; Chordata; Actinopteri; Esociformes; Esocidae. The record is from RefSeq and is a predicted model, not a curated record. The transcript is spliced from 3 exons.
GUAACGUGUAAUCUUACCUUGUGCGAAUCCAAUGUUUACGAGGAUCAGAAGAAAGAGUCCAGGUGUAGUGAACAUUCGCAAUAAAGGCGUUCCAUAUUCUGCCGCAACCAAGUGGGCCAUCGGCGUACUGGUGACCAGAGGCUGGACCUCAAGGCUCCCACACGGCGUGUCCUCCUGGAGGCAGGAAACAGCACUGCUCCAACAGGGCAAAGGCUCAGCGUGGGGAGGUAGGAGAUGCUGAGCCGUGGCGGCAAUCUCAUCCAUCCGAUGGGUGGGA